GGAGUGGCUGUGGCUAAGUGGUAGAGCAUUUGCUUGGCAUGCAGAAAAGCUCAGGUUCAAUUCCUGGCAUCUCCA
This 75-nucleotide transfer RNA is filed under the name Sphaerodactylus townsendi. Its description in RNAcentral is "tRNA-Ala". It matches the Rfam family "tRNA". From Rfam's summary of the family: Transfer RNA (tRNA) molecules are approximately 80 nucleotides in length. Their secondary structure includes four short double-helical elements and three loops (D, anti-codon, and T loops). The record is from RNAcentral. Lineage: Eukaryota; Metazoa; Chordata; Lepidosauria; Squamata; Sphaerodactylidae.